This 71-nucleotide transfer RNA is filed under the name bacterium. RNAcentral's name for it is "tRNA-Trp". It matches the Rfam family "tRNA". Rfam says of the family: Transfer RNA (tRNA) molecules are approximately 80 nucleotides in length. Their secondary structure includes four short double-helical elements and three loops (D, anti-codon, and T loops). The record is from RNAcentral.
GGGCCUAUAGUUUAGUGGUAAAAUUUCCGUCUCCAAAACGGAAGUCGCAGGUUCGACCCCUGCUGGGCCCG